RNAcentral lists this ribosomal RNA (490 nucleotides) under uncultured bacterium. RNAcentral describes it as "partial 16S ribosomal RNA". It matches the Rfam family "Bacterial small subunit ribosomal RNA", at positions 30 to 507 of the family's 1533-position model. The record is from RNAcentral.
AUUGAACGCUGGCGGCAGGCCUAACACAUGCAAGUCGAACGGUAACAGGAAGAAGCUUGCUUCUUUGCUGACGAGUGGCGGACGGGUGAGUAAUGUCUGGGAAACUGCCUGAUGGAGGGGGAUAACUACUGGAAACGGUAGCUAAUACCGCAUAACGUCGCAAGACCAAAGAGGGGGACCUUCGGGCCUCUUGCCAUCGGAUGUGCCCAGAUGGGAUUAGCUAGUAGGUGGGGUAACGGCUCACCUAGGCGACGAUCCUUAGCUGGUCUGAGAGGAUGACCAGCCACACUGGAACUGAGACACGGUCCAGACUCCUACGGGAGGCAGCAGUGGGGAAUAUUGCACAAUGGGCGCAAGCCUGAUGCAGCCAUGCCGCGUGUAUGAAGAAGGCCUUCGGGUUGUAAAGUACUUUCAGCGGGGAGGAAGGGAGUAAAGUUAAUACCUUUGCUCAUUGACGUUACCCGCAGAAGAAGCACCGGCUAACUCCGUG